GAAGAUUAAUGUCAGUCACCUGCCAGCCCAGGGAAUGGAUCUGAUAGAAUUAACUCCUCCUCCUGUUUUCACGCUGUUCUUCCUUAUGCACGCGAGGGUGGGCGUCUCACCCCGCACAGGCUGAACGCUUCCCGCGUCCUGCUCGGAAAGCAGUGCCAGAACCCAGCUGGCGGCUCUUCAGCGACACGUCUCUCAGACUCUCCAGAAGCAAUCAGAGCAAGCUUAAAAAAACCCCAAAACAAAUGGUUUGGAAAGCAGGGUAAGCACCAGGGACCGGCUCCGGCCCCAGUGGAUGACAUCAGAUGGAGCGGCUCCACCACAGCAAACGAGCAGCCGCCGAUAAGGCAGGGAUGCAGCUCUUAAUGACAGCGGCUUCGUGACUCAUCACAGCCGAUGCAACCAGCAGAAGGUCCGCACGCCCCGAGCCGCACGCCACAUGCUGCCGUGCUCUUAAUCUGAAUUAACCGAGACACUCGUACCCACGCUGGGGUGGGCAAAACUCCUCCAGCAGCCGAAGCCCCUGGAGAAAUAGAAGUUUCUGGAUUACUAUUUGAUUUUCUUCUUCCUCUCAGCAACUCGUCUCAUCCAUAUUUACAGGCAGCAUCUGACCACCCUUUCUGAGCAAGAAAUGUGACUGGAGAGCAAGUUACUGCAGAAAGAAGAUCUGCUGGGCACACACAUCAUCCCCGGCUCACGCAGUAGAGCUGGGUACCGGGUUUUUAUGCCAGCUUAGCAGUUAUUUUGGGGACGGGCGCUACUAAUGGUCCUUGACUGAGAUCAUACUGAAGCAACAUAUCACUGGGCUUUUAGGUCUCUACUUUUGACAACAAAAAUUAAUGGGAGCCUCGUGGCAUACCUGCAAGACCCAUCCGGGGCGGACAAAGGAUGUUAGAACAGCCCCGUCCUCUACUCACAACGGUGGGAUACAGAGACAUUUUAUCUGCCAUAAAUAAGGACGAGAGGCGGAUCUGGGAGCAGCGCUGCAGGACCUGAAGCUUUGCGUGACCCACGUCACGCCGGACGGAGCACCCAGCCAGGUCGCGCUGGUGAUGGUAGAACAGGAUGAGGAUCGCAAGAGGAGGAAGAAACCAAGUGAGAAAAGCAGGGGGGCAGAAGCAUAAACAGGUAAAUAGCAAAGCUUUUGGAAAAAAAGAAAAAACCACAACAAAAAACAACUGUCGAGAAGCCAAGGCAGUCAGAACAAAUAAAUGUGCAGUGGCUCUGAUUUACCAGAGAGCUGAGCUGGCUUCCUGCGUGAUUAGUUUUCUCGUGCUGAGUGGCCCUUAAGUGCUUUGGGUCUAAUUGCUGCUGAAGCUUUCUGUAGCAAAGAGGAACAGAACGGCUCCGCCAUGGAAAUCCAUCUGCUGUCUCCCCGUGUCCCUCACCACCCCGAGACCCAUCACUGUCCACCUUGUUGGAUGUCACUGUGCAGGAAUAUCUCGUAGAUGCACGGUCUGACUUGGCAAAACGCGAGCCGUGCGGAUAAAGCCAAGGGGCCUCGGGCAAGGUGGCAAAGAGGGGCUCCAAGCGGUGUUUGCGCUCGCUGGUGUGAUGUUGGCUGGCUUGGGAGCAGCAGCUGCUCUUCUCCAGGUUAUUACAUGGGAGGAAGGAGCUAACAGGGGGUCUUGCACAUUUUUCAGAUGCUGAGGAAAGCUGUGGCAGGGAGAUGGAGAUGGAGAUGGAGAUGGAGAUGGAGAUGGAGAUGGAGAUGGAGAUGGAGAUGGAGAUGGAGAUGGAGAGGAACCGGGCUGGCAGCUCCAGCACCUUGUGUUCUGUGCUCCUCCACGGCAAGUCACCAUGAAAUUAUAGCAGAAAAGAAGACGAAGGCUUGCCCCUGCCUGCCCUCCCUGCAAAAGCUGCUGAGCAUCCGUCAACUGCCACAUUCGGGGAGUCUGGGGCCCAUGGGGGAGGACUCCCCAAGUCUCCCAUCACGGGGAGCCCGGGCAGAGCCGGACAGCCAGAGCCCUUCCAUGGCAUUUGCUACCUGCAGUGGACGGCCCCCAGAAUGCAGGUCCCACAGCCCAAAGGACUCAGCCAGGAGACCCCUGCGGCACAGUGGAAGGUACAAGUGCCUUUUCUAUUUUUUUUUUUAGAAGAGAUUUUAAAUCUGUUUCCCUCUGGAAAGCGCUUUGCUCCAGGUGAAAUGUUUUGAGGCUGAACUCAUCUUCUCCACUCUUUUGCAUGCUCGCUACGAAAAAGGACGUCCUCGAACCUGGGCCACGGCCGAGCUAUCUUUAACUGGGCUUACACAACCAUCCAGUUUGUUGCAUUGUGUUGCAUUUUUCUCAGGACGGAUCUUGGCUUCGGGCCUAAAACAGCAGGACAGAAAGUCCAUGUCAGCUGCUGCUUCUGGAAGGGCCGGGAUGCGGCCGCCUCGCUGUGCGUCGGUGGCUUGGACGCACCAUUGGCAUCUCGGCCCUCCUUGAAGCCUCUCCUCUGCCUGGGAGGAGGAAAAAUAACGUCGUUAUCAGUGCAGGAGCUGGGCACCGUGGGAAAGGCACGCUAACGUCCCUGCUGCCUCUCUCCAGGCCUUUUUGUAGUUUUCUUUUGCAGAAAGUGCCGCUUGUUCCCAUGAGGAGGAGAUUUCUGGUGGCCACCUCUGCCUGGCCACAUCUGCACAGCCAUUCCUGCCUGGCCAGACAGGUCCCUGGGAGGGCGUGAUACUCAUGGUGACAGCGAGAGCUGAGGCCAUACGGCCGGCGAGGUCCCUUUUGGAGACAUCUUCUGCCAGCCCUUCCUGGUUCCUACCAGGGAGUGGAAACUGUUGCCUCUGGUGACAUCUGCCUUGGGGCUCCAGCUCUUCUAAAACUCCCUUUAAAAUGAUUUUUCUCCCGAGUUUCAUCCCAUUAUGAAGGAUGCUGAAGGGAGACUGUUUUCUUUUGGUGGGCACAAGGAUCUUUUUCUGCUUGCUCCCUGCCUUUGCCCACCCCACCAUGACAAAGCCACCUCCUCUUGGCUGUCCCUGUACCCCGGCCAGGUGCCAGCCCCUGGUUUUCCGCUGUUGCCCAAGUCCCUGUUGUCCUCACCGGAGCUUUGCAACGUUUCCCUGGUGGUUUAGCACCCCCUGCCUGCUUUUGGGGGGUCCGGGACUGGGCUCUCGCCCCACCACCAGCUGGGAGCUGGGGUGACGAUGCACUGGGGAGGUGACAGUACUGUCAUGCCGGAGCUUGCGGCUCAUUUUUUGGCUGGCCAGGGCUGCAGGAGCUCACUCACCCACUGGCCGGUGGCCAAAUGGCAUGGCUGGGCAGCUGCCAGCACUUGCAUUAAUAGUUACCAGCUUGCGGUUUGAGGUCACCCGUUCUUUCCAGUCUUUCAUUUCCCCCCUCCCAGCUUAUUUCAUGCCUGUAAACCACAACGAGCAGGCAGCAGCUCCCGUACCCCCCCGGCCCCGCUACCCCUGCCUGCCUGCUCGCUGCAGGCAGGGCUGCUGCCCCUCGCUUUUGUUUUGGGUCUGGGACAGCAUCAUUUCACAGCACCACAUCCCUACUGAGCAUCCCCAGGUGCCAGGAGGGGACAACCAGCAUCUCGGGGGGACACCCUCACCCCCACAUGGCUGGGGGGAGAAGAAGCAUCCUCCCAGCUACCCCAGGGCUAAAACCGCCUUCCCCAAAGCCCAGCAUGCAGAAGACUUGUGCCAAGGCACGGCCCCUUUGCAAAAUAAUUUGUAGCUGCCGUCAUCCCCUGCCAAAGGCUUCGGGAAGGGUGUUUUAUUAGCAACUCGCUAGGAAUAAAUCUCCCUUUUCAUAA
Molecule: long non-coding RNA, 3747 nt
Organism: Columba livia (rock pigeon)
Lineage: Eukaryota; Metazoa; Chordata; Aves; Columbiformes; Columbidae
Exons: 4
Source: RefSeq, a predicted model, not a curated record